UUAUGACAGUUGAUUGUACCAAAGACUCCAUGCAUUCUCUAACAGUUGCUGGCCUCCAGCUAGAAAACACAGGGAGUCUUUGGUACAAUCAACUGUCAUAAUAUAUGUCCCAAAAGGAGAACAAAUUAUGCCCCUAAAGUACUAACCAUCAGAUUUUGGCCUCCAGAUAUAUUGGCCCUGACCAUAAUGUGGACGUGCAUGGUUUCGCGUGGUUAAAUAACUCGGAUGACUUUCUUGUCUUUGCUUGGUAGAAUUGUCAGGACAAGUGCCCUGUCUUGGCUUGGUGAAAUAGUUGGGAUGCCUUUCCAGUCUUGUGUUCUGAACUGGAUGUUGCACUUGCAACUUCGAAUUGUUGGGACGAAUUUCCUUUGGCUUGCUCAAAACUUUGGGACGACUCUCCUGUCUUUUCUUAGCUAAAUAAUUGGGAUUUCCUUCCAGGCUCAUGUUCUGAAUUUUAUGCUGCACUUGUGACUGAGAAUACACAGCCCUGCUCAUCAUUGGACGAGUACUUUGGUAGUCCACAACAGUGUGACUUGAGCUCCCAGCAGGUGUUUCUGCAAUGAAAUUUAUUAUUUGUGGCCUGACUAACAUGCUAAGGAGAGAACUACUAUUGUGACUGGCCAAAACAAGCCUAUCAUAUGAUGUCUGAAAUGCUUCAGAUAUCUUUUCCAGGUUUCCAGCACUGACAGCCCUUGCAGUAUUCUCAGGCUGCUCAAAAGGAUCCUCAAUAAAUAAUGCAUAUGUUUUGGGCAACCAUC
Molecule: unclassified non-coding RNA, 758 nt
Filed under: Hevea brasiliensis (rubber tree)
Lineage: Eukaryota; Viridiplantae; Streptophyta; Magnoliopsida; Malpighiales; Euphorbiaceae
Source: RNAcentral